GUGCUUGCUUUGGCAACACAUAUACUAAAAUUGGAACAAUACAGAGAAAAUUAGCAUAGCCCCUGCACAAGGAUGACACGUAAAAUAAGUGA
This 92-nucleotide small nuclear RNA is filed under the name Canis lupus dingo (dingo). The record is from RNAcentral. Lineage: Eukaryota; Metazoa; Chordata; Mammalia; Carnivora; Canidae.